UUAUCGUAGCGAUCUGCUGCAGACACCUCCAAUGCUUCAAAUCCUUUAAAGAUGUUGAUGAUGCUGAUGAUGAUAGUUGCGUAUCCGACACCCCAAUGGUAAAGGUUCCAGUAGAAUCUGAUUUUGUGAUCUUUCUUUGGCCUCAACAACAGAGCAAAAACCUGUAUACAGUAGCAGAAGUUUCUGUCAGUUUCAUUUCAAUUAUUAGUAGCAUAACAUAGCAACAACAUUUAAAAGAGGCAUAGCAGCAAGGUUUCAAAAACAAGUUCGACACCGCAAUCUUGCUGCAGCAUCAUUGCUUUUUUAUAUUUUCACAACAACAAUUGAAGUUGCAUCAGUCACAUUUACUAUGAUUCUCUGCAAUAUCAAUGAUUGCAAUAGUAUCCACAGCCACAAUUCAAAACCUUGGAUAUUAGUAGUUUAUAGUUUAAGAAACUACUCAUGAACAACAGUUGAAGUUGCGUCAACCAUAUUUGACUGUGAUUUUCUGCAAUAUCAAUUAUCGCGACACAACUGUAACAGUUACCGCGUAUGCAAUUUAAAAUAUUACAUGUAAACAAAUCAUGAACAUGUAAUUUCAUACCUGAAGGGUUCCAAGGCAGAAGAUGACGAUCCCGAGUGUUCUAUGAGUUGAAUAUGUAACACCAGCGGAGUCACUACCGAGCUUGAGACCAGUACCCCAUCCAGCAACACCAACUAUAUAGGCAGCAGAUUGGCAGGUAACAUGAAGGUAAAACCAAGCAGGGUCUGCAGACUUGAAAACCUUCAAG
Molecule: long non-coding RNA, 770 nt
Filed under: Medicago truncatula (barrel medic)
Lineage: Eukaryota; Viridiplantae; Streptophyta; Magnoliopsida; Fabales; Fabaceae
Description: long non-coding RNA (MTRU_LNC008136)
Source: RNAcentral